CUCAGCGCCAAGAGAGAGCACACACAUUGCUGAACUAGGGAGAGGCUAAGGAGCCCCUCAGCUAGUACAUUAGCUCAGGACCCUGGACAGCAUUUCAUUUGGAGGGGGGAAUGGCCACCUCUGUCCCCACACAACUCCACUGUCCCGGGGGCGCUCCCGACCUUCUGGUGCCUGGGCACGGAGCACCUCGUGCCCCUGCCCCUGGG
Molecule: non-coding RNA, 206 nt
Organism: Pelobates cultripes (western spadefoot toad)
Lineage: Eukaryota; Metazoa; Chordata; Amphibia; Anura; Pelobatidae
Source: the annotation of a GenBank genome assembly